This 301-nucleotide ribosomal RNA is filed under the name uncultured bacterium. RNAcentral describes it as "partial 16S ribosomal RNA". It matches the Rfam family "Bacterial small subunit ribosomal RNA", at positions 509 to 808 of the family's 1533-position model. The record is from RNAcentral.
CAGUCGCCGCGGGAAUACGUAGGUGGCAAGCGUUGUCCGGAAUAACUGGGCGUAAAGGGCACGCAGGCGGUUAUUUAAGUGAGGUGUGAAAGCCCCGGGCUUAACCUGGGAAUUGCAUUUCAGACUGGGUAACUAGAGUACUUUAGGGAGGGGUAGAAUUCCACGUGUAGCGGUGAAUGCGUAGAGAUGUGGAGGAAUACCGAAGGCGAAGGCAGCCCCUUGGGAAUGUACUGACGCUCAUGUGCGAAAGCGUGGGGAGCAAACAGGAUUAGAUACCCCCGUAGUCCCUGUCUCUUAUACA